GGCGAGCCUGUGAGGGUGAGCGAAUCUCGGAAAGCCGGUCUCAGUUCGGAUUGGGGUCUGCAACUCGACCUCAUGAAGUCGGAGUCGCUAGUAAUCGCAGAUCAGCAACGCUGCGGUGAAUACGUUCCCGGGGCUUGUACACACCGCCCGUCAAGUCAUGAAAGUUGGUAACACCCGAAGCCGGUGGCCUAACCGUUGUGGGGGAGCCGUCGAAGGUGGGACUGGUGAUUAGGACUAAGUCGUAACAAGGUAGCCGUACCGGAAGGUGCGGCUGGAUCACCUCCUUUCUAAGGAG
RNAcentral lists this ribosomal RNA (295 nucleotides) under Cutibacterium acnes. RNAcentral's name for it is "partial 16S ribosomal RNA". It matches the Rfam family "Bacterial small subunit ribosomal RNA", at positions 1248 to 1533 of the family's 1533-position model. The record is from RNAcentral. Lineage: Bacteria; Bacillati; Actinomycetota; Actinomycetes; Propionibacteriales; Propionibacteriaceae.